This 154-nucleotide ribosomal RNA is filed under the name Oryzias sinensis (Chinese medaka). Its description in RNAcentral is "5.8S ribosomal RNA (ENSOSIG00000004044.1)". It matches the Rfam family "5.8S ribosomal RNA". Rfam says of the family: 5.8S ribosomal RNA (5.8S rRNA) is a component of the large subunit of the eukaryotic ribosome. It is transcribed by RNA polymerase I as part of the 45S precursor that also contains 18S and 28S rRNA. Lineage: Eukaryota; Metazoa; Chordata; Actinopteri; Beloniformes; Adrianichthyidae. The record is from Rfam by way of RNAcentral.
AUCUUUUAGCGGUGGAUCACUCGGCUAGUGUGUCGAUGAAGAACAUUGCUAGCUGCGAGAACUAAUGUGAAUUGCAGGACACAUUGAUCAUCGACACUUCGAACGCACCUUGCGGCCCUGGGUUCAUCCUGGGGCUACACCUGUGUGAGGGUUG